This 445-nucleotide ribosomal RNA is filed under the name uncultured bacterium. RNAcentral's name for it is "bacterial SSU rRNA". It matches the Rfam family "Bacterial small subunit ribosomal RNA", at positions 330 to 792 of the family's 1533-position model. The record is from RNAcentral.
CCCAGACUCCUACGGGAGGCAGCAGUGGGGAAUAUUGCACAAUGGGGGAAACCCUGAUGCAGCGACGCCGCGUGAGUGAAGAAGUAAUUCGUUAUGUAAAGCUCUAUCAGCAGGGAAGAAAAUGACGGUACCUGAGUAAGAAGCCCCGGCUAACUACGUGCCAGCAGCCGCGGUAAUACGUAGGGGGCAAGCGUUAUCCGGAUUUACUGGGUGUAAAGGGAGCGUAGACGGCAGUGCAAGUCUGGAGUGAAGGGCGGGGGCUCAACCCCCGGACUGCUCUGGAAACUGCGUCGCUGGAGUACGGGAGGGGCAGGCGGAAUUCCUGGUGUAGCGGUGAAAUGCGUAGAUAUCAGGAGGAACACCGGCGGCGAAGGCGGCCUGCUGGACCGUGACUGACGUUGAGGCUCGAGAGCGUGGGGAGCAAACAGGAUUAGAUACCCGCGUA